CUACGUGCCAGCAGCCGCGGUAAUACGGAAGGUCCGGGCGUUAUCCGGAUUUAUUGGGUUUAAAGGGAGCGUAGGCCGGAGAUUAAGUGUGUUGUGAAAUGUAGACGCUCAACGUCUGACUUGCAGCGCAUACUGGUUUCCUUGAGUACGCACAACGUUGGCGGAAUUCGUCGUGUAGCGGUGAAAUGCUUAGAUAUGACGAAGAACUCCGAUUGCGAAGGCAGCUGACGGGAGCGCAACUGACGCUGAAGCUCGAAGGUGCGGGUAUCGAACAGGAUUAGAUACCCUGGUAGUCCGCACAGUAAACGAUGGAUGCCCGCUGUUGGUACGUGGUAUCAGCGGCUAAGCGAAAGCAUUAAGCAUCCCACCUGGGGAGUACGCCGGCAACGGUGAAACUCAAAUGAAUUGACGGGGGCCCGCACAAGCGGUGGAGCAUGUGGUUUAAUUCGAUGCAACGCGAAGAACCUUACCUACUCUUGACAUCCAGA
RNAcentral lists this ribosomal RNA (488 nucleotides) under uncultured bacterium. Its description in RNAcentral is "bacterial SSU rRNA". It matches the Rfam family "Bacterial small subunit ribosomal RNA", at positions 501 to 992 of the family's 1533-position model. The record is from RNAcentral.